AUUAACAAAGUUGCAAUAACAUUAUCAUGUGCCAUGUGUUCACAACACGCCACGUGAUUUUCCUUAAAAAAUGCUAUAUGUGGACACUGGCUGGAUCUUUCUACAUUGCAAUAUAGUAUUUGACUAGCAGAGAGAAAGACAGUAAUAAAGUUGACAUGUUAGUUAUUAAGUUAGCCUUUAAGGUAAAGGUCAUAUGAACUCACUUUGUAUUUAUUGUUCUUGGUGUUAUUAUGAGAUGUACAUUUUAUUUCAUUUCUUCAGUAUAUGUGAGAGAUGUAUAUUUAAUUCACUGCCAUCAAUAUUCAUUAGUUAUGAGGAAUAUUUCCUCCUUAACCGAACAUGCCAUCAAGGAGU
Molecule: long non-coding RNA, 354 nt
Filed under: Mytilus galloprovincialis (Mediterranean mussel)
Lineage: Eukaryota; Metazoa; Mollusca; Bivalvia; Mytilida; Mytilidae
Source: RNAcentral